UACGGGGGGAGCAAGCGUUGUUCGGAUUUACUGGGCGUAAAGGGCGCGUAGGCGGUCGUGACAAGUCACUUGUGAAAUCUCCGGGCUUAACUCGGAACGGUCAAGUGAUACUGUCGGACUAGAGUACAGAAGGGGCAACUGGAAUUCUCGGUGUAGCGGUGAAAUGCGUAGAUAUCAGGAAGAACACCCGUGGCGAAGGCGGCUCUCUGGAACGCAACUGACGCUGAGACGCGAAAGCGUGGGGAGCAAACAGG
This 254-nucleotide ribosomal RNA is filed under the name uncultured bacterium. RNAcentral's name for it is "partial 16S ribosomal RNA". It matches the Rfam family "Bacterial small subunit ribosomal RNA", at positions 524 to 776 of the family's 1533-position model. The record is from RNAcentral.